GACACAUGAUGUUUGUUCUCAUGAUGGCCUUCCAAGUCCCAGUGGUGACAGGGCUUUGACGACAGUUGCCAAGUGGGCUGACUGAUGUCAGUGG
RNAcentral lists this small nucleolar RNA (94 nucleotides) under Crocodylus porosus (Australian saltwater crocodile). RNAcentral describes it as "Small nucleolar RNA SNORD35 (ENSCPRG00005016809.1)". It matches the Rfam family "Small nucleolar RNA SNORD35". From Rfam's summary of the family: U35 is a C/D box snoRNA located in intron 6 of ribosomal protein L13A and intron 3 of ribosomal protein S11 in humans and at homologous positions in mouse and chicken ribosomal protein genes. U35 guides the methylation of 2'-O-ribose sites in 28S rRNA. The record is from Rfam by way of RNAcentral. Lineage: Eukaryota; Metazoa; Chordata; Crocodylia; Crocodylidae.